GGGGUUGUGGCUCAGCGGUAGAGUGCUCGCCUAGCAUGUGUGAGGCCCUGGGUUCGAUCCUCAGCACCA
Molecule: transfer RNA, 69 nt
Filed under: Marmota monax (woodchuck)
Lineage: Eukaryota; Metazoa; Chordata; Mammalia; Rodentia; Sciuridae
Also listed under: 3 other names
Rfam family: tRNA
About the family: Transfer RNA (tRNA) molecules are approximately 80 nucleotides in length. Their secondary structure includes four short double-helical elements and three loops (D, anti-codon, and T loops).
Source: Rfam by way of RNAcentral